GCCUCGCUAGCUCAAUGGCUAGAGCGUCAGACUUUUAAUCUGAAUGUUGCGGGUUCGAGUCCCGCGUGAGGCU
Non-coding RNA from Tricharina praecox, 73 nucleotides. The record is from the annotation of a RefSeq genome assembly. NCBI's taxonomy places the organism in Eukaryota, Fungi, Ascomycota, Pezizomycetes, Pezizales, Pyronemataceae.